UAAUGCAAUCCCUAGAGACAUGAGGACAUUGGUCAAUUGGAGUUAGUUUAGAUAAAGAUUUAACCUGGAUAAUCGCUGCUGCUGUCACUGUUGACGUCUUCUCUCCUGCACACUUUCUCUUUGCUGUUUACUUGUAAUCAAAUGAGUUAUAUCAGAAGAGAGAAAACAGAUGUUGUUUUUAAACCAGGUUGUGGUGUGAUAUCAUCUAACAUAUAUGACAUGUUUCCAACAAGUAGAAAAACCGCUGAAGAUAAAAUGUCCUUUUAAAGAUCUUUUAUUUUAUCCUCAUCUCCUUUAAUCUUUCAUUCUUUAAAAUUUAAAAGUAUAGCAGAGUCCACAACUCAACUAUAACAAUAAUGACACAGAGCAAUGUUAUUGUUUCCAAAAUGAUUUUUUUUUUAGCUGAUGAAAGAUGAAAACAAUGACAGCCAAUCAGGGUCCAAUUAGUGCGCUUAUAAUAAACAUAACGUUAUCAUGCAUUGAUGUAGGCCCUAAUAUAUUUAUUGUUCAGUUAUUGUUCUUGGUGCAAAUGGACCUUAAUGUUGGGUUCCACUUAACAUACUUUGGAAAUCGGAUGUCGGAGCUGACGUUGAACCCGUGUUGACCAUGUUCCAGUGCACAAGUCAGAAAACCAAGAUGGACGCAUCCGUUGUUAGCAAUAUCAGUCGAUAAAAACACAUAAAAUACUGCCAAAAUAAUAAUGCUGAAGUAUCAUCUUCACAGAUAGAGGUUGGAUACUGUAUGCACUGCAGAGUUUAUGCUAAUAAACAAUAUAUUACUACUUUUUCACUAUUAUUGAUGCACUGAGCUGCCAUUUUGGAUUCUGAAGUCGGGGUUGUUGUGGGUUUGACUUGAGGUGGCGUUCCAGUUAAAAGCUCCUACUGGGAACUCGGAAUACGAAUUGAAUGCAUAUGGAACGCUCCACAGAACCCUCUGUAAAACACACUUAAUUCUGCAGACGCUGGUCAUCAACAAUACUGAUUGAAUUUGACAUAUAAAUCAAAGCACAUAAGAAAUGACCUUGACUAAUUUAUACCUACCUUGGUCAUUUCCAAGAUAGAUAUGUGUGCGUCUAAACACUGCCACCAAAACGGUACCUGUUAACACUUACAUUGCCCUCAGUCUGUGAAAACCUCCUCUGUUAGACAGUGAGGGGCGCGGGGUCCCGCAAGGCCCUAAUAGGGAUCAUAUGUGGAGUCAGCAUGUAGACAGAAUCCAAGACCUCUGGCCGUGCAGAAAAACCCUGUCAGCAGCGGAUCCUGGCCAGCUGAACGGCUAAAAGGCUGAGAUUUGAUUUGAUGACUUUGCACCUCUACCUCCUCUUUGCACUUAAUCUUUUUUUCUUCUCUGUUGUCUAACCUGUGGUGCCGAGGUGGUCGAAGAUGAGCUGUCUGCUGCAGGGUCCUAAUCUAAUAUAAUUAUGGCUUCUCACCAAAUCUUCCCAGUGGAAUCAUCUGCAGUCUUUGGUUUCUCUUUGUAACGGCCAGUGAGAUACAGUAAUGAUCACCCUUACUUGCCACUGUGGUUAACGCUCUGCCUGUCGGUUGAAAGAAGAGAGGGAUUGGUUACUCCGCUGAGAGUGCUUCCUUUACUUUUCCCAGACUUCUCUCCCCUCAGCAUUCCAUUGAGAAUAUGUCCUCAAGCCUACAAUUUUUAUGAGGUCCUCGGAAUUGGCAAGCGUGGAAGUCAAGACGAGCCAACAGGAAAGACCGGCAGUGCAAACAUGUUCAUGUGGUGUAGAGGAAAGGAGAAAAAUAUCUGUAAACAUGCAUACAACACAAGUUUGUUUUUGUAUUUUUGUAGGGACUUUCCAUUGACUGUUUUAUUCUGUUCUUUUUACUCUAGCCAAUUACUUUCAGGGUUUUUAAAAAAAAAAAACUUAUUUGUAGUACUGUUGUUUUGUUUAUAUAAUUUAUAUAAAUGCAAUUUUUUAAAAAUAUCUAUAUUAUUAUAUUUAAAGUCAUUUUCUUGACUACAAAAAAGAUACAAUUCAUUAUGUAAAUUCAUUAUGUAAUUUGUGACAGUAUGCCAGCUGUGUGCAGAUUGUCGUAUUAUAUAUAUGGGGUGAGCUGAAAGCCAUUGAAGCAAUGGAAGCCAUGAUAAUUAAAUAGCCCUUUUAGUUAUUUUAGCUAAGUUUGAGCAGUGAAAAUUUUUUUUUUUUUUUUUUUUUUUUAAUAAAACUUUGUUUUGAGCAACAAAACUAAUUAUUAAAGUGUACAAAAAAAUACUAAAUACAUGUUUAUGUUAAAAAAAUGAAAUUUUAGUUUAGAAGGACAGAAUUUACAAAUACUCUUUCUUUAAAAAAAAAAAAAAAUUAGCUGUUUGAAAUCAACUACUAGAGGAUCAACACAUUUAACUGGACUUUUGACUCAAAACUUAAAGACCUUGUGACAAUUUCCCCACAUGACAACUCCCUAAUUUAUAUUAUUUUAUCUUUUAAGUAGCUAUAAUCAUAGGAGUGUGAUUUAUUUUCUUUUUAAUAUAUUUCUUUUAUUAUAAAGGAUUUUGUAAAUUCUUUCACUUCCCCUAGAGACAGCCCUGUUCUUCAAACUGCUCUGAAGGUCAGCAGCGAUGCUCUGAUUCUCUGUGUGACUGUGAUUGCAUCCUCUGGAAAUUCAUUAAUGCAAAUACACAGAACUCACAAAUAAGCUGAUUGACAUGCAAACAAGUCUAUUCAAUUAGCAUGAAAUCUGAAUAAAAGCACUUUGAAAGUGCAAUAUUGGGGCUGAUGAGAGAUGCAGGUCUGUAAUUGAGCAUGACCUACGAGGAAGUGCUGAAGAGGGUCUUGCCCUAAUGCUGCUGGAGGGCUUUUGUUUUAGUUUUUUUCUGCCAUCUGGGCAGGAGCAAUUACAGCUUUGCCUUUUAAAUAAAUCAAUCUAAAGAGAGCAACAGAUCAACCUCCGUUUAAUGCCUAAUUACUUGGGCCUGUAUUCUGGGGGAGGAGCCUCAGUUAACUAUGCAAAUGAACCGGCUCCUAAUGAUACUCCCACCUAACACUGAAAAAUCUCCA
Molecule: long non-coding RNA, 3010 nt
Organism: Onychostoma macrolepis
Lineage: Eukaryota; Metazoa; Chordata; Actinopteri; Cypriniformes; Cyprinidae
Exons: 3
Source: RefSeq, a predicted model, not a curated record